This 465-nucleotide ribosomal RNA is filed under the name uncultured bacterium. RNAcentral's name for it is "partial 16S ribosomal RNA". It matches the Rfam family "Bacterial small subunit ribosomal RNA", at positions 28 to 507 of the family's 1533-position model. The record is from RNAcentral.
GACGAACGCUGGCGGCGUGCUUAACACAUGCAAGUCGAACGGAAAGGCCCCUUUGGGGGUACUCGAGUGGCGAACGGGUGAGUAACACGUGAGUAACCUGCCCUUGACUUCGGGAUAACUUCAGGAAACUGGGGCUAAUACCGGAUAGGAAUCCUUGCUGCAUGGUGGGGGUUGGAAAGCUUCGGCGGUUUUGGAUGGACUCGCGGCUUAUCAGCUUGUUGGUGGGGUAGUGGCUUACCAAGGCUUUGACGGGUAGCCGGCCUGAGAGGGCGACCGGCCACAUUGGGACUGAGAUACGGCCCAGACUCCUACGGGAGGCAGCGGUGGGGAAUAUUGCACAAUGGGCGGAAGCCUGAUGCAGCAACGCCGCGUGCGGGAUGACGGCCUUCGGGUUGGAAACCGCUUUCAGCAGGGGCGAAGCUUGUGGUGACGGUACCUGCAGAAGAAGCACCGGCUAACUACGUG